AUAAAGAUUCUCUGGUCUGUUCCCCGCCUUUUUAAAAGCUUAUUUCCUUCCAACCAGCCGUUGUCUAUGUUGGGUUGUGACCUCAGAAGGUCUCUGGUUGGUUUAGAUGUUGAGCUCUAAGAGGUUAAGACCUCCUGACUCACAGGCACUGGCACACAAGCCGGGCUCACGGCAGGCGGCGCAGCGGCAGGCCCGGGGCUAUCCGCCCACCCACGGCCCACGCCCGGCACCGGCCCCAGGGGGUGAGCACUGCUGGGCCCAUCGCUCUCUGUCCCUGGCUUCUUCUCAAGGUGAGAGUCGCCAGAACCGGAGGGAACCUGAAAGUCCAUCUAUUUCAAGCCCUUCAUCUUACAACCGGAGCCUGAGGCUUGGUGCUGACAGGGAAGGCGGAGACUGCUGGUAGAGCUCAAGUGAGGGACCAGCUCUGCUAACAGGACACAGUGGCCAGGGUGCUGCUGGGACCGGGUCUGGGCUGUGCCACCCACUCUCCGAGUGAUCUGGUGGAGUCACCCAGCUCCGAGUAGGAUGAAAUUCCUGCUUGGCCACCCUCCUGCACCUCGAACCCCAGGAUUUAGGGUUGCUGAAGAUUUUGCAACACCCGGAGAAGCACAGAACCUCAUGAGAAGUUACUGACCCCGCCUUUCUCGGAACACAAUAAUCCCCUUUCCAGACACAUUGCUCUUGAAAACUCCAGUGACAGGGAACUUACACCUGUCAGAGCAGCCUAUACUUGCCCUAGACCAGUGAUGGAGAACCUAUGACACGCGUGUCAGAGGUGACACGCGAACUCAUUUUUUUGGUUGAUUUUUCUUUGUUAAAUGGCAUUUACAUAUAUAAAAUAAAUAUCAAAAAUAUAA
Myotis myotis is the source of this 857-nucleotide long non-coding RNA. RefSeq lists it as uncharacterized. NCBI's taxonomy places the organism in Eukaryota, Metazoa, Chordata, Mammalia, Chiroptera, Vespertilionidae. The record is from RefSeq and is a predicted model, not a curated record. The transcript is spliced from 3 exons.